Molecule: transfer RNA, 27 nt
Filed under: Cyrtocarenum cunicularium
Lineage: Eukaryota; Metazoa; Arthropoda; Arachnida; Araneae; Ctenizidae
Description: partial tRNA-Leu
Source: RNAcentral
CAAUGCAUUAGAAUUAGAAUCUAAAUA